AAACGACUCUCGGCAACGGAUAUCUCGGCUCUCGCAUCGAUGAAGAACGUAGCGAAAUGCGAUACUUGGUGUGAAUUGCAGAAUCCCGUGAACCAUCGAGUCUUUGAACGCAAGUUGCGCCCGAAGCCUUCGGGCCGAGGGCACGCCUGCCUGGGCGUCACGCAUCGCGUCGCCCCCCC
RNAcentral lists this ribosomal RNA (179 nucleotides) under Ruellia jaliscana. RNAcentral's name for it is "5.8S ribosomal RNA". The stretch from base 5 to 160 matches the Rfam family "5.8S ribosomal RNA". From Rfam's summary of the family: 5.8S ribosomal RNA (5.8S rRNA) is a component of the large subunit of the eukaryotic ribosome. It is transcribed by RNA polymerase I as part of the 45S precursor that also contains 18S and 28S rRNA. The record is from RNAcentral. Lineage: Eukaryota; Viridiplantae; Streptophyta; Magnoliopsida; Lamiales; Acanthaceae.